AAUGUAUGGGCACAGACACUUGUGAUGGCUACAAUUCUCCACAAGAGAGAGCUCUUCAUCUAAAUAAAAAAAAAAAAAAAAUCUACAAAUGGUAAAUAAGGGGAGGAGAUUCAAGGCAAUUCCUUCAGACAUGCAGAGGUUUCAAACAUAGUUGCUCAUCAGUUCCUUGUCAGUAAUGCUAUUCCUAUUUUGUCUGUGGUUUAUCUCCCUCUUUACAGGUGAUGCCUCUAGUGAGGGAAUAGCACCAGUCUCUCCUAAUGAAUUUGUCUCAGAAGGGAACACAAUCACCCUGUCCUGCAAUUACAAUGGAUCAGCUACUACAGAUGCUCUCCAUUGGUAUCGUCAGUACCCGAGAUCCAGACCAGACUUCCUGUUUCUAGUUAAUGAAGCUGCAUUUAAGCAACCAGCGGAUCCUCCGAUUCCUGGAAUAUCUGCUAGAUUAAAUGAGGAGAAAAAUCGUGUGGAUCUGGAGAUCACUGGCACUGCAUCAACUGAUUCUGCUCUGUACUACUGUGCCCUGCAGCCCACAGUCACAGGAAACACACAUGCACUGUACAAAAAUCAGACACAUUUAAAUAGAAGCUGCAAUGUCAUUUAAGUGCUCACUGGAUCAUUAUGCAUUGAUUUUGAUCCAGCAUUUGGGAGCAAAGGAUUAAGAAUGAGAUUUUGAGUUUCAUUUGUCUAAUCAUUGUCUCCUUAUCAACUGACCUUAUGUUCAAGAAAACAGAAUACUAAAAUACACAAUCAGAAUUUAAGGACAUGCAUCUAGUAAACCACUCUAACAGUUAUCAUCAGUAUACAGUAUACAUUUUGACACAUUUU
Molecule: non-coding RNA, 822 nt
Organism: Carassius auratus (goldfish)
Lineage: Eukaryota; Metazoa; Chordata; Actinopteri; Cypriniformes; Cyprinidae
Source: the annotation of a RefSeq genome assembly